Molecule: long non-coding RNA, 34977 nt
Filed under: Citrus sinensis (sweet orange)
Lineage: Eukaryota; Viridiplantae; Streptophyta; Magnoliopsida; Sapindales; Rutaceae
Description: long non-coding RNA (CSIN_LNC000917)
Source: RNAcentral
AAGGCUUGGAAGCUCACCUCCUAUUCUUAAUUCUUGAAGAGACUUCAGAUUGUGCAAUCCCUUGGGUAAGGCCUCUAGUCUCUUACAAUCAUAUAUCUCCAACCUCGUGAGUUUCGCACAAGGCAAUCCCCCUUCGGGAAAGGUCACCAGAUUUCCACACCACCAAAUUUUAAUCUCUAGAAGCUGGCGGAGAUUAUGUAAACCACUCGGUAAAAUCUUCAGUUUUUCACAAAAAUCAAUUCUGAUUAUUUUAAGAGAUGUGUUGUCGUCCAACCUUUCAGCUAUUGACUCCAGCUUUGAACAUCCAUAAACACAAAGGGACUUAAGAGACGGAGGUAGAUUGCCAACUUCAAGGGACUCAAGCGUGGCAGGUAACUCGUUUUUUGAAAAUAUACAUGUCAGUGAUGGACAAUAGCGAAUGCCUAAGUGCUCAAGAAGAGAUGAGUUGUACCUUCUGCUGCUGCUGCUGCUACUGUGGAUGCCCUCUUCCACUGUCAAAGUCCUUAUAUUACCGCACUCAUCGAUGAACAACGUCUUAAGGCUCGGUGGUAGCUGGACUCCAGCAAUAUAUCUCAACGAAUGGCAACUCUCAAUAUACAAGAUCUCGAGAGAUGAAUUUGUGUCGCACAUCCAUGCCUCUGGUAACGAUUUCAGUGCAUCACAUUCACUAAUCUCAAUUUUCUUCAACUUGGAAGGCAGAGCAACCUCAGGAAAGGAAACAAGGGAAUUGCAGCCGCCAAUGAAUAUCUCUCUCAAGGAACUCAGGCUGAGCAGUGAUUGUGGCAGCUUCACAAGGCCUUCGCAUAUGUACAGUCUUAGAUAUUCAAGCCUGCAUGAGAACUCGCAGAGCUUCUGUCGUUGGUCUUCCUCUUCCUCAGCCACCAAGGAUUGAAGUUUAGAACAGCUUGUAAUCGUCAGUCUUUUGAGAGAGCAAAUGUCUUGCAGUAAUUCGGUAUGACUCUUCCAUAUACAUGUUUCAUUUUUAAUAUUAUUUAUCCCCAAUUCUUCCAGUUUUGGUAUUCGCGGCUUCAAUGGCCCUGCUAGAAAAACUUGAUUUGAUGUAUCUCUAGAAACCACUGAAUUCUGUGAGCCGAGAUGAUCAGUUGCACUUCUCCCCACAACCUUUUUACAUUCACCAAUUUGCAAGUUGCAAAGAGCUGGAAGACUAGUAACUGAAACUGACAAUUCUUCACAUCUACCAAUUUGCAAGUUGCAAAGAGCUGGAAGACUAGUAAGUGAAACUGACAAUUCUUCACAUCCAUUAAUUUGCAAGUUGCAAAGAGCUGGAAGACUAGUAACUGAAACUGAAAAUUCUUCACAUCUGUAAAUAACAAGCAUCUGCAAUGCAGGAAGGCAUUCUGGAAAGGUUCCUCGCAGUUUAGAACAUCUUAAAAUGUGAAGCUCUCUCAAUUUAGGAAACCGUUCAACUCCCUGACUGGAUCCAUGAGGAAUCCAGUCUUCCCAUUCUUGCAUGUCUUCAAAACGAAGAGUCUCCAAGCAUGGAAAUGGAAUUGGAGAGUCAUUCCCAUAGAACUCUGAACCCAAUCUCUUUACUCUACUCAUUCCACGCACUGUAAGAUGCUUUAGAGAGGGCAGUUGCCCGACAGACGGCAGGGCAGUGCACAUGCCGCAAUCUUCAAAUUUAAGUGUCACUAAAUUUGAGAAUGAGGAAUCUCCUAACCAUGUUGGAAAUUUUGUGCCCCCAUAGCCACAGAUAUAAAAUUGUUCCAGAUUUUUAUGGGGUUUGAGCAUGUCGAGCACGCCCAUUUCAGUUUCUGCCUCCCUUGAAGAUGAACCAUCGGUACAGCGUGUCCAUCGAAGCAAUAAUUCUCUAAGAUUCUUCUUUCCAUCCAUUUGAGCCUCCUUCGCAUUACCAACGUCUUUUACAUUCUCCAAUUUUGAAAUUUUAAGUGUCCCACGAAGAUGCAUUAACAACUUUAGCUCUGGUAACCCCGAACCGGUAAAGCUUGCUGACUGAUUCAGGCAGAGUUUUAAUCUCAGUUCCAGACAGGUUAAGGUGCCUUAAAUACCUCAAAUCACCAACUGAAUCCGGCAGCUCGGCGAUGCAAUAUCCACGCAGAGAGAAGACCCUUAAGCUUUGGAGUUUGAACAACUUAGGAAGAAUGCUAUGAGCCAAGUAUCCAUGCCGACUAUUUAACAACAUCAGUGGUAAAAAAGUUCUCAAAUGUUGGAUAUCAUACAAUUUCUCAAACCUUUCAACGCCAUCAUAUUCUCCACAAAUGUAUGAUAGAUGACGAAGAUUUCUGGAAAAUCUUUGCUGCUUGUUAACCUCCGAGGUAUAUUCCAGUGUGAAGUAUGUCUCCCCUGCAGCCCAACGGGCAAGGUCGUUGAUAAGAUCGUGCAUAACAAAUCGUGAUGCAUCGGUGGCCGAUUGCUGGAAAAAAGAUCUUGAACGUAGCUCCUUAAAGAAAUCACGACCUAAAUCUUCACUAGGAUUCUCAACUUCUUUGUGAUCCAAAAAACCGGAGGCACACCAUAAUAAAAUUAUCUCCUCCUCUUCAAAUUCAUAAUCCUUUGGUAACAAUGAGCAGUAUGCAAAGCAUUGUUUCAAAGUUGGAGGAAGAUAAUAAUAGCUCACCGCGAGGGCUGGUAUAAUGCGGCAUCUCUCUUCUGGUAAUUCCCAUAUCUUGCUACUGAGCACACGUUCCCACUCACGUCUGUCAUGUUCUCCACGUAAAAGUCCUCCAAGUGUUUGUGCUGCCAAGGGCAAGCCAUCGCAUUUGGUGACUAUCUUCCUGCCGAUUUCCUCCAAUGACAUAUGUGAACUGAAAUCUCGCGUCCCCAAAGAAUGUUGAGCGAAUAUAGCUAGACAAUCAUUAUAUGACAGCUUUUUUAAUUGAUAAGCUGGAAGAGUCCCCAUGAUUUUUGCAACCUCAUGAUUGCGAGUACUGACAAUAAUCUUACUUCCCUGUGCACUUGCUCCAAGCGGACGGCUGAAGUCAACCCAAUCAUCGUAAUUCCGGUUCCAUACAUCAUCUAAAACAAGCAAAAAUUUCUUUCCAGAUAGUUGCUUAUUCAGUUCCUCUUGAAGCUUAUUCAAGUUGAGAUUAUCCACAUUCUGGUGAGUCACGAUGGAUGUCAAGAUUGUUUUUGUUAGCCUGAUAACAUCGAAAUCAUCUGAGACACAAGUCCAUGCCUUGAGAUCGAAAUGAUUCUGCACUCGAUCAUCAUUAUAGGCAAGCCGAGCAAGAGUAGUUUUGCCCAGCCCACCAAAACCUACAAUAGGUAUAACCGAGAAUCCACCAUCAUUUCUCAAAUCAUCCCUCAACAACAAUUCAACAAUUUCCUUCUUAUCUGUUUCCCUGCCAUAGACGUUGGCUCCAGUCACUACAGAGGUUGUCUCUAGCCUUUGACUGGCUUUUUUGGACCCUCCAGCUGAACUUACGUUCAAACCUAACGAGUCUGCUUGCCAAGCCACUUCUUCACAAACUGAUUAGUCGUCUUCUUCUCCUCAGCAUCAUCAAGCACCGCCUUGAUCAUCUCCAACAUAUUCGCCCACUUCAUCAGAUCGGCCUUGAUUUGCUCUUGGCGUGCAAAAAACAGAAUCCCCUCUGAAGCUAACUUAUUGACCAGCAAAUCAACGGACGCCGUAAGAAUUGCCUCUCCAAUGAUUGACAUUUUUUUUUUCUUUCUUCUCCUUUUUUUUUUUUUUGGGCAAAGAAAGAAGCAGAAUUUUGAGUUUUGAAAAGCAAAAUGAGAAAAUUGAACAGAAAGUGUGAAGGGUCAAGCAAAAUGAAUGUACAAGUCUUCCACUUGUUGCUUAUUCCAGGAAAGCGAAAAUAAAAACAGAGCCCACCACCCAUUAAUAAUUUAGCAAUUCACCAAUCACCAGUCACCACCACUCGUUACCAUGAAUAUAAUAAAUUGCACCUUGAUAUUUGCAGGGUCCAGCAACAUUUGAUUGGAUUCAAGCAGUCAUUACUUGAAUUUAUAUUUAAAAUUAAUAUUGAGCACAGCUCUUAAAUUAAAUGCAGGUUAUAUAUAUAAUAUAACUUAAAGAGAGAUUUUAUAAUAUAUCAGAAGAUUUAUACUGCACUAAUAAUAUGUAAGACAUGUAUAUAUUUAUUUAAAAAAAUUAUAAUAUAAUUAAUAAUUAUAUUUAAUUUAUCCGCUGCACAUAUUAUACGUGUAUUAAAUAAAUAUAAUAUAAUAUAAUCUAAAGUAUACGAUACCUUAGCCGCGCCUAGGGAUGGCAAUGGGCACCGCCCGUAGCGGGUUUGCCAUUACCAAACUCAAACCCGCACAAAAUUUAAAUUACCAAACCCACCCGCAACCCAUAGCGGGUUUUAAUUUUUUAAAAAAAAACCCACCCGCAGCGGGUUUUAACAAUUACCAAAUCCGCAAUAGUACCCGACGGAUUUUUUGCGGGUUUCUGUAUUUAAAAUCACAAAUGUUUAAUAUAUAAAUUUAUAAUAAUAACCUCAAAUUUCAUAUAACAUACUCAAUUUUAUAUUGAAACAAUAUAAAUAAAAAAUUAAAAUUUCCACAUCAAUCCAACACAAAUUCUCAAAUUUAAGUAUAAAUUACACAAAUUCAUUUAAAAAACACAAACUAGUAUCUAAAAAUAAUAAUUACAUUUCAUAUUAUCAUUUAAAACAAACUCCAAGAGAAGAUAUUCAUUUCAUUCACCACCAUAAGCACCCAUCCAAGACAAUGUCUAUAAAAAUAAUUAAGAUUAAUAUUUUCAAAUACUAAUUCGAAGAGAAAUGCCUUUAGUUUUCUUUAGGUUAUGACUUUAGAAUGGGAGAUAGGCCACAUACACACAUACACAACUUUGAGCCUUUGGCUAUUUGGUAAUUUGAAUAAUGAUAUUAUUUUCUUUCUACAUUUUUAGAUUAAAAUUAAAUUAAAAAUAUUUGGAAAAAAUAUUGUGAGUUUGGUGGAUAUCCAUGAGGGUAUCCAUCGGAUAUAAGGUUAAUACCAAACCCACCCGUAUCUAUGUGCGGGUUUUAGUUUAUAAUACUAAACCCGCCGCAACGGGUAAAAUUACCCGCAGGGAGCGGAUUUGGACGGGUUUGUGGGUUUGCGGGUACAAUUGCCAUCCCUAGCCGCGCCCCUGAUCUGAAGCAGGGUAGGACCCUCUGGCCCACCUCGGUCGUUUAAAAAGACAAGUUGGAUUGUGUGGCCGUUAAGGGUCUCCUUCUCCACGAGAAGACCUUUUUCGUCUUAAUUAGUAAAUGACCGAUCUCUCCCCGAUUACCCAAAAACACCAUCGACCUUUGAGGUGUCCGAGGGACUUAACAGUAAUUGCAGACGAGGGGACCAAUUUGCUGGAGAAUCACUCGCCACCGAAAGGCGUAGAGGAAGGGACACUGUAAUUUCAUCGCCUUAUUUGGGUAUCUGAUUUGUUUUAAAUUUUAUUGUCUUUUUGUUCUGGAUUUUGUGCGAAAGAAUCUGCUACCGAAAAACAAAAAAUCCAAAACCAAUUUGAAUUUUUCUUAGUGAAUUCUGUCCGUCUAAAGCUGAUUAAUAUAUUACCUACAUAUAAUAAUAUCACCAUAUGGAAUUCACGAACAACAAAAUAAGUUUAGGUGUUUGUUUCCGAAGCAGGAGAUGUAUAUAUAGCGUAGCCUACCAUUUCUGAAAUUACGAUUGGAUUCAAGCAGUCAAUUGAAUUCUCAUAAUCAUUGUGAGGCUAUUAUGUAGUAGAUGACUAGGUAGAAGCCAAGUAGGUUUUGAAUUGCACCUUGAUAUUUGCAGGGUCCAGCAACAUUGAUUGGAUUCAAGCAGUCAAUUGAAUGCUGAAUAAAGAGGAAAAUGGAAUGUAUCUACUACGAACCUUCACUUUACAAGUCUUCAAAGUCAUAAACCAAGUUAAAUCAAAACGUUUCUCUCUCUGUCUCUCUAUUAUAUAAUUACUAUAUUUAUUGAAUUAAUUUUCAUGCUAAAACGAAGACUUAAAAGUACACUACAAUUUUUUUAUAAUCACACAAUGAUAACUUCAAUUAUUAUGUUAUAUUAAUAUCGUGUUAAAAUAAAUUAUAAUAAAAUUUUAGUCGAAUAUAAUAAAUUCGACUUAUUUAUUAAAUAUAUAUAUUUAAUAAAAUAAUAACACAAUUAAUAUGUUAUCAAUCAAAUAAAAGUUCUAAAGUGAAAACAAAAUCGGCCCCCACGACCAUCAAUAAUGUAGCAAGCUUCACUUUAUUACACUAAAGUGAAAACAAAAACAGCCGCUACCACCAUCAAUAAUUUAGCAAGCUUCAAAAUGCUUGUGCUUGUCCGCUUGACGAACUGGGCAUGGGUGGACCAGGCAUCAUUGAGCAAUUCGAAACAAAUUAAAUAAUAAAAAAAUCAGUGUCCAGCAAAGAGAAUCGAUCUUUAUGCGUUGCUUCCUACUUAGUACAUCUAUUGAUAUGUACAUCUAUCUAACAUUUAGAAAAUGGAAGUAGAAAUUGGAACUCACUUUAUGGCUCGUAUGCAAUACACGUAUCAACAUUUAAUUAGAGUUCACACACACACACACACGUGUGUGUGAGUCUAGUUUUAAUUGAGAGAUAAAUUAAACAUAAAUACUUAGGCUCCGUUUGGUACAGCUUAUUAAAUAGAGCUUAUAACAGUAGAGCUUAUAGCAGUAGAGCUUAUACCAAUAGAGCUUUUGGACAAAAAGUCAUUAGGUGUUUGGUUGUCAAUAAAAAAAGUACUUUUGAACCAUUAACUGUGUGAUAUUUUUUAUAUUAUAUAUUUUUAUAAAAGCUCUCUAACCUCUACUAGCAAAAGCUCAAAUUUUGGGCUUUUGCUAGUAGAGGUAAAUUAGCUUAUUUAAGCUAAAAAAACUCUACUAAAAAAAUAACCAAACACCAUAAAAAAAUUUAAAAAGUGCUUAUACGAUUAAAUAAGCACUUAUGGCUCUUAAAUAAGCCAUACCAAACAGACAAUUAGAUGUUUCUAAAUGAUUGAAUAAUGAUAUUAUUGGUAUUUAUAAAUUUCUAAGAUGCGAUAAUUAUGUGGGGGGCAUAUAUUUAUGGUUAUAGAAAAUGGCGGUAAAAAUGGUACAAAUCUAAUAUAAUAAAAAAGUAUAAACUGUAGUAAAUUAAUGUUUACUUCAAAGUAUGUUAUAAAUAUCGCUUUCUUUAAUACGUUAUUUGCUCCCACCAAUUGAGUUAUGCAUAUGGAUUAAGCAAAUAUGCAUGUAGGAUACAAUAAAGCGCUGAUUUGUUUGUUUACGUUAUACAUCAAUGAAAGUAAACAUGAAUAUUCUUGAAUGUUAUAAGCCUACCGAGAAUUAAUAGAUUAUUCUUACAAAAAAAUAAUAUGUUGGAUAUUUGAUGCAUAAAAAAUAAAUGUUAAUUGAUGAAAUUCUUUUGAAGAAAGAGGACUACAAAAAAAUGGUGUAGGAUCAUUUUAUUCAUGUCUAAGUGACAUUUAUUUUUAUGAAUGUGAGGGUAUUUUGGUAAUUUUAUGGACACAAGAGUUGUGUGUUGUGGAUAGAUGUUCGUUUUGAACUACAUUGCGUGCAGUUAGUUGUAUUUCACAUUUAUGAAAAGUAACUAUGUCGUUUCCUUGAUUAGGAGAAACUGCGAGUGAGAACCAAGCCGCGGAUAUGAACGAUAGUCGAGUUUAAGCAUUGUCACUAUGAGUGAAAUAUGCAAACUCAUUUUCAUAUUUUAUUAUGAUUUUAGAGUGCAGUAAACCAUUAAAAUAAGAUUUUAAUGCUCUCAUUUAAUGAUUUCUAGAAUAAAUUUGAUUUACGUAUUGGUACAUUAUUAAAUUUUUAUGAAUAUUGGUUUUCCCUAUCGAUUUUGAGUAAUGUAUAAUAGUAUUUUGAAGAAAAUAAAAGUAAAUUUAAAGUAUGUUAAUGGAAAGAAAAGAAGACUUAAUGUACAAUUAAAAAUGUGUUAUGUAUGUGUAUAAAAAAUUGUUAUUAAAAAUCAUGAGACAAAACCCUCUCCCUCUAGUUAUAAUGAUACAGCUUAGAUGAGAGCCCUUCGGGGCCCCUCUGAACACAUAGAGAGGUUAAUAGGCUGUGUUUUUUAGCGCUUUUACCUUUUGGAGGCUUAUGCAUGCUGUAUGAUAAUAAAAGAGAUUCAAGAUAUAGAUAAGAUAGAGGCCUUUGGGCCUGUCUGAGUGCAUAUAGAAGCCUUGGAUCGUGUGCUUGGGUGCUUUUGUCCUUUAAGGACUAUUUUAUGUAUGCAGUUUGAUUAGAUAUGAUGAUAUAUAUGAGAUAUCACUUCAUUGAUCUAUCCUUUGUAGCUCCAGGCAUGACAGUGCUUGGAUAGUAUGUCAUUACGCUGCCCAUAUGAGGUCUAGGUACGACAAGAUCAUUUACUUGUUUAGUGACAGUUUAAGAAUCAAGUAUUCUAUUUUAUCUUUUGAUAUGAUUUUCAUGUGUAUUACGUACAGUAUAAUGUAUUCUUCAAUGACAAUUGUUCGAUUUAAAGUUUGAAUAAUUUAACUAUGUUCUUACUUAUAGAUUAGUAAAAUUGGUAUGUCAAAAAGAUAUGAUCAUCUUUAAAAUAAGUUACUUUCAAAAGAUGUUAUCCACUCACUGAGUUUACUAAUUUUUAUAUUCACCUUAUUUUAUUAUAUUUUUCCCUCGUAAAAGGAUGCAGGUACACCAAUCGACUGACCGACUGUAGUUAUUUUGAAUUUUUGGCCACGUGAUGGCGCUAGGAGAAAUAGAUGGUAUUAUGCAUUUUGAUCAUCUCAUUUUGGAAUGUAUAAUUGUAUUAUGAUGUGAUGAUUAUAGAUGUUUAAUAUAUAUUGAAAUCAGAUAUAUUAUAAUCUUUUGAUAUUGGAGAUGUUUGGGUGUUAUUUGGUAUUUUGGUUGAGAAGGUUGAUUGAUGGAACUGGUUAUAUAUUAAACUAUGUUAGGAGUGCUUGUAUAAAUUUGCAAUUUUGGGAUUAUUAUAUUUAUAAGGGAAAUAACUGCCAAAUUUUUGGUAGAAUCAUUACUAAUUAAAUUAUUAUCAGUCAAGCUAGACAAUAUAAGAUAGACCCCCAUGGAGUUCGAGGCGAGUCAUCGGUAUUUUAGUUGAGAAGGUUGAUUGAUGGAACUGAUUAUAUAUUAAAGUAUGUUAGGAGUGCUUGUAUAAAUUUUCAAUUUUGGGAUUGUUAUAUUUAUAAGGGAAAUAACUGCCGAAUUUUUGGUAGAAUCGUUACUAAUUAAAUUAUUAUCAGUCAAGUUAGACGAUAUCAGAUAGACCCGCAUGGAGUUUGAGGCGAGUUGUUUCAAAUCAAGUCCUUUAUAAAGCUCACUCACCCCUUGCUAGCUCUCACUCGUUACAAGCAUCUAUCUAUCAAUAUAUCAAUCAAUGCUUACAUUUUCUUUCCUCUUAUACAUAAAAAUGAAGUUCAUCUUGGCAACCUUGCUAUGGCAUUAUUAUUGUGAAUAGGAUAGAACGUUUGCAAUUAUCAUCUUCUGGUUGACCAAACCUGUAGCGACGUUCCAUUCAGAACCAACUGUGUGGCCUCAGUCAGUGUGAAACUCUCUUUAAAACCGAUGUUGAAAUUAAACCAAAAUGAAAUCCUCGGCGCAGUAAUAACUGUACUGAAGGAACGGGCUAUUCAAGCUAGGGAAGACUAUUCUAAUGCGCAUGAAAUUAGUAAAGACAGUUAUGAACAGAGCGUGCUCAUGGCUUCCAUUGGUGAAUACAAUAAAGUCGUAGAAGCUUGCGACAAAGCAAUUGGACCAGGUAAGGUUGGCGAUUUUGCGGUCGCGAAAACAGCAGCUGACGAAGCCAACCUGAGCGUUUCUCGCGUUGACGCAUACAACAUCGAGAACCCGAACCUAAAACAUGUCAAUUUGAACUUGAAAAUUGCUUCUAAAAAUGCAGUAGCCAUAGCCAUCAAGGCUUUUAGUAAAACAAGGAGAGUACAAUUAUUUAAUUUAAUUGAUCAUGAUUUCAGAUUUCUUUCAUCAUCGAUCUGUCAAAGUAUUUGGCUGCAGCUUCUAGAAGCUACAUCUAGAAGCGUUGAUGCAGCAAAUGUUGAAGGGUUAGGCACCGCCAAGGAAGAAUGAAGAAGAUGUUGUAGAAGUUGAUCUUGACAAAUGAUGGUUGGAACGCCAAAAUGGAAGAAAGAAAAAUGUUGGAACACGGCUUUGAAGAGGCCACGAGAAGAAUAAAGAAAAUAUUAAAAUAAUAGCCAAUUUUGGCUAUAUAAAGGAAGCUCCCCAUUUUUAGUUUUUACAUCCAAUCCUCGGUUUCUCUUCAUUUAGAGAAUGUUUCUUUGGGGUGUAUUUGGGGCUUAGGUGAGAGAAAAUUAUUUCUGACAGUGUGGUUGUAAUAAUUUUCCACAUAGUGAAUAUUUUUUCUCUAGUUGUCUUUUUGACAACGGCCGUGGUUUUUCUCCAGAUUUGAAGUUUUCCAUGUAAAUCUUGUGUUGUGAGAUUGAUAUUAUUUUUCAUUUAAUUUUUCUUGUUAAUUUGUUACUUGACAAAUUGCUUGGAGAGAUCCUGGGAGGAAGCUCAAUUUCCUAACAGUGGUAUCAGAGCCAUUGAUUGAAGUUUUGGUGUCAGGGCACUGUUCACGUAUACGGUACUAUUCACGUAAAGCAGUGGGAGCCAAUCCAAAUUGUCCGUGGUGAAGAGUAAAAGUUGAUCUGCAAAGCAAAUAUGUUAGGAUUGAAAUUUUCAAGUCCGGUGAAAUUUGAAAUAGAAAAAUUCGAUGGGAGAAUUAACUUUGGCUUGUGGCAAGUUCAAGUCAAAGAUGUGUUGAUUCAAUCUGGGUUAUACAAGGCAUUGAAGGGGAAGCCAUCCCCUGCUUCCAGUAGUGGCUCUGGAAAAGCUAGUAUAAGUGAUGAAAAUUGGGAAGAAUUAGAUGAUAGAGCUGCAAGUGCCAUACGACUGUGUUCUAGCAAAGAAUGUUCUUGCAAAUGUAGGAAAAAUUCCUACAACGAAAGAACUUUAGGAGAAGCUAGAAAAGUUUUAUCAGACAAAGAGCAUCUCAAAUCGAUUGUACCUGAAGGAGCGAUUUCACACACUGCGAAUGGCUGAAGGUACAAAAAUUUCUGAUCACCUCAGUGUUCUCAAUGGUAUUAUGUCAGAACUAGAAGCCAUUGGAGUUAAAAUUGAAGAUGAGGACAAGGCGCUUAGAUUACUAUGGUCACUUCCAACUUCCUACAAACACCUGUUACCUACUUUGAUGUACGGGAAGGAGACAAUAGAUCUUGAAGAAGUUACUAGUACUUUACUCUCAGAAGAAAGAAGACUGAGUGGUGAAAGUAUUGAAACUACAGAUGUCUCGGCUUUAGCAGUUGUAGGGAAUUGGCAGAAAGAUAAAUCUAAGAAGAAAAGGGUCUGCUGGGGGUGUGGACAAUCGGGGCACUUAAAAAGAGAUUGUCAUAGUAGAAAUGGGGCAGGAUCGGCAAGUGGCUCUAGAUCAGAUAUUGAUAGUAUUGCUAGUGGUAAGUCUCUCAUCAUCGUGGGAGACGAUGAUCCCUUGUAAAAUGGAUGAUGAUGACAUCCUCAUGGUAUACCGCUAGUACCAUGAAAGGGGAUGUUUUACUACUAGCGGGUCCAUAAGAUUUACACACAAGGCAUGGUUGGCAUUGAUGUAGGGUGUGUGGUGGAAUUUAUGUCGAUGGCUGAUGAAUUUCCAGGAAAGCCAACAUGGAAGUUGCACCAUAAAUUUCAGCAGGAUGUUUCGACAUGUGCCGAUGUAAAAUUCUUAGAAUUGGUAAUUAAUUCUAAGUGGUAUACUCUUUUACGGUGGAGUAUGAUAAUUCUCUAUGGUGAGGAAAAUAGUAAGGUUAGUGUGGAGAUUAAUUGAUUCUCAAUCAAAACUCCAAGUGGGAGAAUGUCAAAGUAUUUGGCUGCAGCUUCUAGAAGCUACAUCUAGAAGCGUUGAUGCAGCAAAUGUUGAAGGGUUAGGCACCGCCAAGGAAGAAUGAAGAAGAUGUUGCAGAAGUUGAUCUUGACAAAUGAUGGUUGGAACGCCAAAAUGGAAGAAAGAAAAAGGUUGGAACACGGCUUUGAAGAGGCCACGAGAAGAAUAAAGAAAAUAUUAAAAUAAUAGCCAAUUUUGGCUAUAUAAAGGAAGCUCCCCAUUUUUUGUUUUUGCAUCCAAUCCUCGGUUUCUCUUCUUCAUUUAGAGAGUGUUUCUUUGGGGUGUAUUUGGGGCUUAGAUGAGAGAAAAUUAUUUCUGAGAGUGUGGUUGUAAUAAUUUUUCACAUAGUGAAUAUUUUUUCUCUAGUUGUCUUUUUGACAACGGCCGUGGUUUUUCUCCGAAUUUGGAGUUUUCCACGUAAAUCUUGUGUUGUGGGAUUGAUAUUAUUUUUCAUUUAAUUUUUCUUGUUAAUUUGUUACUUGACAAAUUGCUUGGAGAGAUCCUGGGAGAAAGCUCAAUUUCCUAACACGAUCUUUGUCUUUUUUAUCUUUUUUUUUUAUUUGAAUUUCCUCAUUUAGAUAUGCAAACCAAUGAUAUUCUUUUUUAUGAUAUUGUUGGAGAGAAUAAUAAUAAUAAUAAUAAUAAUAAUAAUAAUAAUAAUAAUAAUAAUAAUAAUAAUAAUAAUAAUAAUAAUAAUAAUAAUAAUAAUAAUAAUAAUAAUAAUAAUAAUAAUAAUAAUAAUAAUAAUAAUAAUAAUAAUAAUAAUAAUAAUAAUAAUAAUAAUAAUAAUAAUAAUAAUAAUAAUAAUAAUAAUAAUAAUAAUAAUAAUAAUAAUAAUAAUAAUAAUAAUAAUAAUAAUAAUAAUAAUAAUAAUAAUAAUAAUAAUAAUAAUAAUAAUAAUAAUAAUGUGUGCUCUUUGAAGCAGCUUUCUGCUUAUGUUGUAAUGAAUAAUUUUUUAAUUGAUUGAUUGAAUUAUUUUAUGCUUUUAUUUAUUUAAUUACGUGAUGAUCAUGCAUGACUAAUUAAGUGGAUUCAUAGAAUUGGAAAAAUAAAAUAAUGACAGAAACAAAAUAAUAAAUCAAAACGAUUAAUUGAUUGUCUUUAUGUGUGUUAAUCAAUUAAUACAAAGAUUAAUUAUCAAUUAAUCAAUGAAUAAAUAUUUGUUGACUUAAUUUUUGUCAAUCAAAUUUUCUAAUCACAAUGGUAUCGUUUCUGUUUAUUAUUUUAUCAUUAUGCAACAACUUUCUCUCACAAGAUAAUAGAUUGUAGUAUUUCAUACCAAAUUAACACUUGUCCAUGUUACCGAUGAAAAUCAUGGUAGCAUUAUUAGAGAGCUUUUUCUUUUCUUUUUUCUCCCCCUUUUUCUGUUUUGUCCUUUGUUUGAUUGGGUGUAAUGAAACAGAUAUAACUAGGGACCAAGCAUGACCUAUAUAUAUCUUCAUCAACAAUCAAGGAAACAAGGGAUUGAAUUUGAUGUGUCACAUUAAUCCACCAAAGGAUAGACAUGGGACUUGACAUGAAAAUGAAUACAAACACAAACACAAACAUUUACUCCUCCAAUGAUUGUUUCAAUAUCCUUACCCUUGAUAUUUGCUCACUUUUAUAAAAUAUAAAUCUGCUGGUGAAUUUUUGGUACCUUAAACAGUUUUCUGACUUAUGAGGAAAAAAAAAACUAUUUUUUUUAAAAUAUUGCACAGAGAAAUUAAAAAAAGAAAAAAAACUAUUAAAGAGACUAAAUUAAUAAUGGUAGAAUGCUGACAAAAAAAAAUGUUAAAAUUAACUCAUUUUAAUGUGUUGACAAUUGAGUGAUUACAAUGAGCCCGACUUAAAUUUUAUAUGAAUAUAUUCAAUUAGAUCACAUACAAAAUUUGAUUACCUUCACUACUAUAAGAUAUUAUUUGAUUAAUACAAAUUAAUUCAAAUAUGAUAUGUUAAGUAGAGAAUAACAAUGUUUUAGAUCAUUGUUUACAAUACAUGGAUAAACUGGGUAAUUAGUUAAAGACCUGUAGACCAAAAAUGGAUUUAUGUAUUCAUCUUAUCUCCACAUUAUAUGUUGAUGCUUUCAUUUCUACUCGUCCUUUAGUUUCUUCUCAAUGCAAAUGCCAGCUGGAUAGGUGGAACAACAUUUCCAAUGUGCUAUGCUUGUGUUGGAUGUUAUCAACAAUCUUGUAGCCAUCUGAAAAACCCUACGUGACGAGGAAGUAAGAUUAAUUUAAAAGUAUAAUCACAAGUGAUGCAAAUAGUAACAAAAUCUAAACAAUUAAGAAGUUUUAUAGUCAAACUUCUAAGAAUGGAGAUUUGUUCAUUGGUUUUAAAAUUUAUUUUGCAUAUUCUAAUUUUUCAUUUAAAUAAUUGCACGAAUUUGGAUCCAGUGCUGAUCACAAUCUUGUAAGAAGAUACGCACAAAUCUUAGCUCAGCACUAAAUCCAAAUCUCAAUUGCAAAUAUCAAAAUAGCAAUAAGACUUACUCGAGAUCAAUCGCACAUUCACGAGCUUUCACCGAUUGUAUCUCUAACUGUUAUUGCACGGAAAGGAGCGCCAUUUGGUAACUUGGCCUUAAGCUCAGGACCGGCAAAGACGUGCAUUGGUUCUGGCCAUUCCGGCAUUGUUUCCUCAGGUGAAGCUGCCCAUACGAAUGCUUGUUUACGACAUGGAAACAGAUCGUAUGCUGCUGCUUCCAAUGCAUCGGACCUCGCCUAUAAUAACAACAAUAAAUAGAUGAAUAAUCUAAUCGGAGGUGAUUGUAUAUAUACUGACAAUAGGUUUGUUUUAACUAUGACAAAAUUACUCAACUAAUUCCCAAAUUAAGGCUCAAUUCAGGACUGGUUCGGCAAUUAAAAAGUGUUUCGUAAGGACUUUCAAUUAUGAUUUGGAAGUUAAAGAUAAUUUUUCUCAACAAUUGUCUGAUGAAAUUGUAUUAGAUCUUGGCCAGGACUUGACCGAGUGUUUUCAAUCAACUUUCUUUGGCUAGUCACUCAAGUUUAAACCCUGUAGUAUAAACCCUCUAAGUGGUAUGAACCUAAGAAAUUGAUUCAGGCUUUUUGCACCACCCCACAACUUACUACUUUUUCAAACAUAUUUACUUUAAAAGUCAUGGCAUCUUGAUAGGCACCCCUUUAUGUUAAGUUAAACCAGUAUCGGUGGGUGAGGUUUAUAAAAAUAGACAGCAAUAACAUACCACAACUUCUUUAUGGACAUGCAAUCCAUCGGUCGUAGCAGAACUAGCUGACAGCUCCUGCAGGGCACAUGCAAUUAUAUUUUGAUCAGUGUUCACGAAGCUAAAGCAGUGCAAAUAACAGAUCAUGGCUUAAUUAAGUAACUACCUGAAGGUGAUUAAAUAAUUGAGAAUGAAAUUAUAUUGUUAAGCAAAGACGUAAGCUAGAUUACCCCAUUUAUCUAUUUGAAAUCUCAUCUUGAGAGCAAAUGGCGGCACUGACGAGGCUUGCUCAAUUUCGGCCUGCAUGGCUGCAUGUCUGAUAAGAGUGGAAACAUAGUGCCUUUAGCUAAAUCGUAGAAUGUUAAAGCUGAUGCUACUGAAUAUGGAGAGUGAUUCAUAUACACGGUCUUCACAAAUAUAUAGUUGUUAAUUACAGGAGAAGUUGCAAUAUGAAGUUAAUUUGAAAUUUAUAUUUCUUACCUCGAAUAAUAUCUGGUAAAUUGCGGAUUCGAUAAGGUCAAACUUUCUUUAUGAUCAUCAUCUUCUUCUUGGUCUUCGCCUUCCGAUGUUCCUAUUUCUGAUGUUUCUCCACAUUUUCUUCCUCUUUUAACAACUUUCUUUGAAGAUUUUGUCAGAAAUAUCAUUGUGAGAAGAGUAUCUCUAAAGUUUACAACUUGGAAAUGAGACCUUAUGUGAUAUGUACAUGAAGGAUAGAGAACAUGCUAGUAUUUAUAAGAAACAAUGUGGUGGUUUUAAAGAAACUAAAUUAAGUUAUUAUUUAAUAAAAAGUCAAAUACAAAUCCCGAAGAAUCCGCUGUAUAAUCGGACAGAAUCUGGAAAACAUAGGCACUUUUAAUAAAAAGUUAAAUACAAAUCCCGAAGAAUCCGCUAUAUAAUCUUAUAGAAUCUAGAAAACGGAGGUACAUGCAUGGCAAUAUCAUUACUUUGUACGACUGGAUUAUUUUUACAAAUUUUUAUCCAAAGAAACUAAAUAAAAUUUAUUAUUUAAUAAAAAGUCAAAUACAAAUCCCGAAGAGUCCGCUGUAUAAUCUGACAGAAUUUAGAAAAUGGAGGCACAUGCAUGGCAAUAUCAUUACUUUGCACAACUGGAUUAUUUUUACAAAUUUUUAUCCAAUCCCUUGUUUGAUGCCUGUAAAUCAAUAUUUAAAUAUAUAGUUAUUUUGUUAUGUUAUUUGAUUUUAACUAUUAAUGUGAAUAUUGGAAUAUAUAUUUAUAUUGAACUAAUAAAAUAACUGUAUAAAAAUAUUUGAAUAAACUUAAUUAUGAAUUUUGAAUUCAUGAUGUAAGGUAGCGUUUGUUUUUAAGUCUGAAAUCUUAGUAAGUCUGAAUUUAGCUCAAAUCUGAAUAGGUUUGAAUUGCAUAUGUCUAAAUGGCAUGUUUUUUUUCUCUUUUUUGAUGUCUGAAUGUAAGUGACAUCUGAAAUAUGAUUAUUUAACAUUUAUGUCCUUGUAAGAAUUAUUUAUACUUAUUAUAAAUUUUAAGAUUUAAAUAUGUGCACGUUACAAUUAAAAUCAAAGAUAUGUAGAAUUGAGUAAUUGAUCUUUAAAUAAAAAUAUUAUUAUAUUACUCCAAAUACAAAAUUGAAUCAAACUUAUUAUACUUUAAAAUUUAAAUUUAAUUUUAUAAUUUACAUCAUCUUUUUUACCAUUUAAGAUUGUAAAAGCCCAUUCGCCCAAACCUAGUCUUAAUUAGCUGUACAUAAGUGUAAAGGCCCAUAUGUUCUUAAGAAGUGUUAAGAGUUUUCAUAGACCCAUAAGUGAAUGGAUAUGUGUAAUGCCCUCAAAUUCAAGCCAGAGUUAUAACUGUUGGCAGAUCUGUGUAAUCCAAAUCCAUAAUAAAAAUCAAGAUCCGUAUCUGCUCCAGAUCCGUCAUGAAUUCAUAUUUUUCGUUCCAUAUCCAGAUCCAAAAAAGAAAUAAAUAUCUAUAUCUGCUCCAAAUCCGAAAAAAUUUUUUUAAUCCAAAUAUACUCCAGAUCCGUCAUGAAUUCUAAAACUCAGUAAUAAAAAAGUAAUAAUUUUUUAGAAUGAAAAUUGAAUGCUAAAAUGUUUUGAUAACAAAUAAAUUAUAUAAUUUAUCUCAAAAUAUAAUAAAUAUUGUAGUUUAUACUUUUACACCAAAACAACAAAUAAGAAAGCACUACUAGAAAAAUGGUCUUUACUGACUUUAGAAUAGUGUCAGAAAUUACUUUCACUGACACUUGUUAAUUGUGUCAGUAAUCUGGGAGUCAGAAAAAUAGUGACACUUGUAAGUGGUGUCAGUGAUUACUAUUACUACAGUAUCACCGAUAUUAUGACACCAUAGUGUUAGUAGUUAUUGAUAUUUUAUUAGUGUCUAUGAUUACUGUUACCAUGGUAUCACUAGUUAAUUUAUUUUUUUAAAAAUAAAAAAUUAAAUUGGAUCAUUGCCUAUUGAUUUAUUUGUAAAAUUAAAAGCACCACAAAAUAACAAAAAGAAAUUGAUUUAUAUCACAAAAUCUUUCAUUUCACAUUUAAAUUUAAAUAUUAUUAGUAUAUAUUACAAAUUGAACUUCAAUAGCCAAAAUAUGAGAUAUCCUACUCUCAUAACUAAAUAAUCCAAAUUCAAUACAUAAAAAUUAGUCUCUGUCCCUAUCUGACCAACUUCCAUCAGAAUUAGUCUCAUCACUUCUGCUUUCACUGUGAUAAUUGGAGCGCCUCCGACUCCAAGUUGUUUCAUGAACUUGACGUUCAUCAUCAUGGCUUUUGCCAGAACCACUUUUCACACGAUCAGCCUCCCUUGAUCUAGACCUUCUGUAAUGAUGCCUGCAUAAGAAAUUACAAAACCAUAAAUAACCAAAAGAUUUCUAGCAUCAGCAGUAAAUACAUUAAAUAAUGAAAUUUGAUCAUAGUUUGGAUCAUCAUCCCUUGUACAUAAGAUUGCAAUGCUACAUCACCAAAGGCUUCUUGUUGAAUCUAAUUAUUUUCUUGCCAUGCUUGCAACAUGGUCAUUACAAUUAUAACUCUGGCAAAGUUUUUGAAAGUGGGUUUUAAACUCGAACAAUAGACCAAAAAACCAACAGAAGAACUUUCUUUAAAUCUUGCAUUGUGAGAACAUCUUUUCAUUAUUCAUUGCUUCUAAGAAAACCGAGUUAGGAGACUUGAAGAAAACACAAAUGAAGAGAACGAUACUAUGAAGAAACCUCUCAAAAUCAUCGGUCAAACAUGGAAGUUUAAACUAAAAAAUUCAAAUAACAGAAAGUGAAUUAAAUAAACAAGAGUUCAUAUAUACCAAGUACAGUUUUUAGUGUCUAUGACUAGUAAUAAAAGCAUACCUGUCGGCAUUAGUUGAAUCUAUCUUGUUCCUCGUUUGUCCUUAGCGUUCUUGAUUCCAAGUCCCAGAUUCAUCAGAAUAACCAAAUAACGCAGCCAUCUUUUUCACCCAAUAUCUUGGAGGUGGUUUAUCCCAAUCAGCCCAUUCAUAGUCUCCGCCAGGGUUGCGGAAACAGUGGAUAAAAUUGCAAGCCAUUCCACGAGAGCAUGUCUGUUAAAAUAUGCUCAACGAAUAUAAUAAGAGUGUAAAGAAAAGAAGAAAAGAAACAAACUCAUUUCAUAUCAAAAGAAAAAUGGCAAAGAAAAAAGCAAGUGUGUAAGCCGCACAAUUAUAACUCUGAAAAAUGAGACAAUUGGCUGUACCUUUAGUCUUGACUUCAUAUAUUCGCCACAUAUGGCAAUCUUCCAUCUAGUCACAUUAAUAAAUUCACAUGUGAUCUGUCAAGAAACACACAAAUAAAUAAACCAUCACCAUCCAGAAAAUGACAAGCUGUAAAAUUCAGUAAACAGUAAUGUGUUGAUUACAAUUUAAGCAUGGAGAAAAAUUUUAGAUUAGACUAUGUCAACGGUGUCCACAGAUAGUUAAAAGAUGGGAGAAUGUGCUGGCGUUCACUAAGCAUAUAAUUUUUCACAGCUUAACCCAUUGCAAUUUUACCACUGUCAAGUCUAAAGGAAACUAGUCAGGAAUCUUCUGUAAAGUAAAUAAAUAGUGAAACAACUGUUCUCAUAGCAAUAAAAUGAAAUUAUUUUAAUAAUUUUCUUCAACUUUCAGACCAAUCAAACAAGUAAAGCAAUUUUAGUACAAUGCACAGCAAUUUAAGCUGAAUGGACAAUUGGAACAAUUACGGAACAACUAGACCCCAACGAAUACUGCAAAAACAACCCUUAAACAAUGACUUAAGAAAGUAGAAGCUUCUCUUAAGAAAGUAGAAGCUUCUCCUAGAUCAUGCCUUUUCAAUCUCCCUUUGCUAAGAAAGCUGCCCUGGUAUUUAAGACUAUCCAAAUCCUAUCAACAUGUUGGGACAUUCAAAUACAGCCUCCAAGAAGACAUGUUGUAUGCUUUACAACUGAAGUCUGUCGGAUAAACCAAAUCUUAUACCCAAUGCCAAGAGCUUUAAUUCAAUCCAUUUUAACAGGCACCAAUUACCAGGAAUGCAGGCAGACAAAGAGGAUCAAAAUGACAAGAUAUCAGUAUUCUGGAAUUUCUAUCAAAAACAUGAAAAGUGGCAAGGCCUAUUCACUGAGAGCCAAACAUUUUUUAAAUAGUAGUUACUUUAUAUAAAACAAAUAAAUAUAAAGUAGAAAGUAAGCUCCAACAAUUCUUCACAAAGGCCUGUUUCCCAGCAAAGUAACGACCAUUGACAGAAGGGUAAGUGAGAACAGCUGAUUCCAGCGACUUAUAGUGAACAUAGACAUUUCCUCUCAAGUGGGAAGAACCAUUUCUACACACCUGCACAUAUUUGUUAGUUAGUAUAAGCAGAAAAGGAAGAAACCCAUGCCUAAAUCUUACAGAAUACUGAGUCUACAAGAAAUGCUAAAUAAUGUCCAUAGAGUUUCAAUUAAUCUGGGAGGCCAGAGAAUGAUUUAAGAAAGAGUAAUGAAAGAACCACAUCCAUCUUGUACAAACAAGGGCAUACAAACUAAUAUGGCAUGAGGAGAUUGAUUGUAUAAAACCAUCCUAGGUCUACAUAAUUGAAAAAAAUAAUUGUUAUCACUUUUCAGCCAAGCUCUUCAUACCACAUCAGUUGGUACACACUAAGCUGUAAAAAUUUGUUUGUGGCUCUGUCAUUAUUGUCAAAGAAAAUGGUAACAGCUAGUUUUCUUCAUAUUUAUCAUAUUUGUUAAUCUCAAAAUUGCGAUAUUUGAAAAACCUAAGAAAAGGGUAAUAGAAAUAAAGAAACUUGAGAAACUCCAAGACAGCAAGUACAUUUACAGAAAAUAGUUAACAACCUUGAAAUUGACAAUUUUACCAAACUUCAGGAACUCCAUAUGAACAUCCUCAUAAAAUUCUUCAUAAGAGCGUUCAACUUCUUCAUCUGUAUACUGAAAAGAAAGAAGGCAAAUCAACCAAAAAAUUUUUUUGCGUAUGUUAACAUCAGAAGCAUAAAAUCAAAAGAAAAGUAUGAAAUCAAAAGAAAUAAGGCAAAUCAACAAGCAUAAAAUUUUUGCGUAUGUUAACAUCAGAAGCAUACUAGUCCUACAGCAAUAAAAAACAGAAAAGUAUGUAACAAACAAAGCUAUACUAUAAAGUCGACCAAAAUGCCUUUCAUUCUAAUGCUCUCCUCUCCAUGCAGCCAUAAGUAGCUUAAGGCUCAACUUGAUCAACUUCUGUGAUGACUGCCUUGCUGAUGGGCUUUGCCGUCAAAAGAUUUGUGUACUCUUGGUAUGGAGAUUUCACAAAGCGAGUCUCCCUCCAGAAGUCAGGUGUAAGGAAGCCAUAUGUCUUCAACAAACACUCAAAGGUUGCCUUGACAAAGUUUCCAAGAGUCUUGGUCGACCCACGAGAAGAUGUGAAAACAUCGUCAAUACCAGCAAACUGCAGCACCUUCUUUGGAACCCUAGCCGCCACAAUUCCGGCACCACGUGGGUCCGGAACCAUCCUCACGGUGGCACUGCCACACUUACCGGUCACCUUACACGGCACGGUGUGUGGCCUCCCGAUCUUGUUACCCCAGUAACCCCUUCUCACCGGAAUCACCGACAGCUUCGCCAAUAUGAUAGCGCCACGGAUGGCAGUGGCAACCUCUUUGGAGCACUUAACGCCAAGACCCACGUGGCCGUCCGUGUCACCGACGACGACGAAGGCCUUGAACCUCGUCCUUCAAUUUGUGGUCGAUAAGCGUGUCGAUGAUUUGCUACUCCUUGAUUGGGAGCGAGUGGAGGUAGAUUUGCUCGAGGCUCCUGAUCUUGCCUUCUCUCACCAGACGGCCGAGUUUCGUGACUGGGACCCACUUCUUUUCUUCCUCUCUGCGUCCUGCGCGGCGACGGUCACGUGGCCCUCCACGGUCGCCGCGGCCACCACGACCGAAGCCGCGUCCGAAUGCACCACGCUCGCCCACUUUUUGACAAUUUGGACGUUAGGGGUUUUUCAGAUCUGGGAAGCUUAGGAGGGAACGAAUACUUUGGUAGAGGGAGUUGAAAAGUUGUAUUUUGGAUAAGAUAAGACUUGUCCAUUUGUUUUGUUUUUAUCCACUCAAAAAACACAACUUUAAAAAAAUUAAAAAUAAUUCGUAGCCUAGUGGUCUUUUAAUUCAAUGUAGAAGCUCUAGGUUUAAGAGGUCUUGGGUUCGAAUUCGGACUAAAACAAAAUUAAAAUGAUAAUUUUUAAUUGCUGAUACCUAAGCGUCAUUGAUCGCUAUUACUAAAGCUAUUGAUACUUCAGUAUUAGUAAUUAGUGAUACAUAUCUGUUAAACGCUGAAAAUGAUCCAAAUAUAUGUAUAUACUGAUACUUUUAAAUAAAGUGUCAGAACACAAGUAUCAGUAAAGACCAUUUUUCUAGUAGUGAAGAUUAUUCAAAAGUAAUUGCAGGAGUAAGAUCAAUCUAAUAUUCUAUUGUCUCCUUCAUCAUUCUAAUAUCCACACCCACCCACCCUCAUUCCUACAAUAUUAGAUAAUGAAAUAUAAAUUAAAUAUGAUUUAUAUUCAGUGUUUUAUUAUUUUUUUUAUGGCCAUAUUUGACUAAAUAUAUGAAUAACUAUAUUCCUUAAAAAUUAUUUGGCCAAUAUAGUAAAAUAAAUUACCAAGUUGUAUUACUUGGCCUGCAAUUUGAAUAUUGCAGAUAUAUGCUUUAGGUUUUAGGACUGGCUGACCUUUAAAUUUACAAAACUAACUUUUAAGUUUUAAGAGUUUAAAUGUAUGGUAAAUACCACUAAUAUGCUAUGAAUAAAAUUUAUUAUCAUCAUAAUUCUACAAUUGUUAAGAGACUUUUAAAAUAAAAUAAAAUAAAAAGAUGAGUGAAUAUGGAUAUGGAUUUAGAUAUUACGAUAUAUCCAUACCUGCUCCAGAUCCGCCUUAGAUCCGCACAUCAAUAUCCAAAUCCUAUCCAAAUUCAUUUUAAACUGACCCAAAUCCGAUCCGAUUGGAUUUGGAUCACGUGGAUCUUGGAUCAAAUCCAAUCCAUUGCCAUCCAUAUGUGUAAUCCUUUUAAAACCGUUCUCUAAUUAUAUUAAAAGACGAAAUAAAUCUAAUUAAAUUCUUAUAUUUCUCUCUCUAUAAGUUUCUUUUUUUAAUAGGAAAAAGACAUCUACACCCCUAAGGUUUGGAAAAAUGAUCAUCAACACCCCUAUGUUUUCAAAGGUGGACACCAAGACUCCCUUUGAUGAUUAUACCCUUUAUCUCUAUUAUCUCAAAAGAAUUAACUCUAAUAUUUUACAAUAAAUAGAAAUAUGAUAUUAAAAUAAAUGUAAUAAUACGUACAUUUUAAAAUAAUUUCAAUAUUUAAAAAAUAUUUUAAUAUUUUAAUAUUUUAUAAUUUAUUAGAUAUAUUUUACUAUAUUAAAGUAAAUUUUAUGAUAAAUAGAAUCAUAAUAUUAAAAUAAAUGUAUUAAAAAUUUAAAUUAUUUUGAAUAUUAUGUAAAAUAAUAAUUUUAACAAUAUUAGUAUGUGAGAAUGUUUUUAAUUGUAGAACGUAUUUAAUGCAAAUAUUUAUUUAAAAUCUCUACAAUAAAAAAAUAUUAUUAAAAUAAAUAUAAUAAAUUACAUAUUGAAAUAUUAAAUAUCUGCUGUACGGCCAAGGCGGAUGNNNNNNNNNNNNNNNNNNNNNNNNNNNNNNNNNNNNNNNNNNNNNNNNNNNNNNNNNNNNNNNNNNNNNNNNNNNNNNNNNNNNNNNNNNNNNNNNNNNNNNNNNNNNNNNNNNNNNNNNNNNNNNNNNNNNNNNNNNNNNNNNNNNNNNNNNNNNNNNNNNNNNNNNNNNNNNNNNNNNNNNNNNNNNNNNNNNNNNNNNNNNNNNNNNNNNNNNNNNNNNNNNNNNNNNNNNNNNNNNNNNNNNNNNNNNNNNNNNNNNNNNNNNNNNNNNNNNNNNNNNNNNNNNNNNNNNNNNNNNNNNNNNNNNNNNNNNNNNNNNNNNNNNNNNNNNNNNNNNNNNNNNNNNNNNNNNNNNNNNNNNNNNNNNNNNNNNNNNNNNNNNNNNNNNNNNNNNNNNNNNUUCAAUUUUGGGAUUGUUAUAUUUAUAAGGCUGCUGUACCGUACAUCCGCCUUGGCCGUACAGCAGAAUUCAAAAUUUCGGAUGAUGAUAAUCUUGUUUUAGAAGAGAUUUCUAGUUAUGGUAGCAGCAUUCUUGAUCGUGGCAUCACAAGCACAUGCUCUGGUUUGCUUAGUUUGCCUUUUGUCUCUGAUAUUUUCUUGGCAUUGUGGGAUAUUGUUUCUUUCUUUUUUCUUUUUUUUUUGUUAUAGGAUUCGGAGAUAUUGUAUAUGUAUGACGAUGAUAUAAUAAUGUGCUUUUGAUAAAUUCACCUGGUCGGUUUACUUCACCAACCAUUAAUGAGCAAAUCCUCCCAGUGACCCUCAAACUCUUCUACACAAUUAUAAUAAUUUCAGUUUUAUAUAAACAAAAAUGAACAGCUCUUAAAUAUAUACAAAAUGAACACUCCAAUAAAUCUCGUAAUAAAUCAAAAUAAUUACAAUUUCAUUUUUAUGAAUUUAAAUAUUCAAUAACUGAUAAAUUGUAUUUAUAAAUAUUAAUAGCAAUGGCACAGAAACUAUUAAGUUAAAUUAAACAAUUUUGUAAUACAGUCCAGUCCUCGUGUGUUAAUAUUGAGGCAGCUAGUAAUUCCUUUGGUGUAAAUAAUUAACUUUCUUUCAUAUGCACAAUAUUUAAAAUAAUCACCAAACAACAAUUCACAAGUUACAUUACACAUAGACGAAAUAAUACUAAUCUAGCAAAUCCAAUCAUAAUAAUUUAAUUUUCAUUUCUAUUAAUUAUUUCCAAUCAUGCUAUUUUUUAAAAAGAACACUCCAGCGUUUAUAUAUUCAACAGGUAAAAUUUCAAAACAAUAUUUGCCAAAGUCUGAUGUAGAGAAUAAACGCGCACACACGUAUAUAACCGUACAGCAGAAGGAUAAAUAAAAGAAAAUGAAGUUUCAACAGUUGAAUAAUGCAAACUCAUUUUUUUUAAAAGCAUUUUAUUGUUUAAUUAAAAAAUUCGAAAACCCAUUAUGUACAUGAUAAAAACUCACCGACGCCGAACCAUAUUAAUUUAAAUUAGUUUUCAACUGAGAUUAGAAUUUUGAAAUUACAUACACAAACACGCCCAAUUAAAAAGUAGUAAUUAUAAAAUAUUUCAGUACUCGUUUUACCAUCCAUUUGAACAUACACAAACACGCCCAAUUUGUAAAAAAAAAAAAAGUAGUAAUUAUAAAAUAUUUCAGUCGUCCACUGUUCAAUUAAAAAAAACUUCUUUUACUGGUCCAAAGCGCUAUUAAAGAUCGGCUUUAAAAUAAUUAAGCCGGAGCGAUUCCUCAGAUAACAACGCUACGUACCAUAUCAGACCUAAAACUUGACCAACCGCGAUCCAAUUUAUUUUAUCAAAGCAAUCAAUAAAGAAUUAUUUUUUGAAAACACUACCAUCCUUCGAUCUUAUUUCCUUCUUGUAUCAGAGCCAAGGAGAGGAUAGUGUAAUACAGUUUAGAGUUUUGUGUUUAAAGACUUGUGUUUUAUUUUGUUUUUGUUUGUGUGGUGAAUUCUUACUGGUAGUAAGUCCCGUCAUAGGAUAGGGAUUUCCGCUUAGGGCAGUAAAACCAUACCUGUAGCCAUACUGACCGAACCCUAGUAUUUCAUAGGUUUUUAUCCAUGGAUCCUCUGAUAUGUAGAACAUCGUCCUUUUCUAGCUCUUCUUCCGGGAAGACUAGUGAUUCAAAGCAUGUUGUGAGUUCAGAAGAAUUCAUUAUUGAGAACUUUGAUAAAGCAAUUGAUUGUUGGGAACUUCCAAAGAUUUCUAAAGAAAAGAUUUACAAAACAAAAAUGCUUGAUCUUUUAAAACAUGAUUAUAUUAUAAAGACUGAAGAACGUGACAUAACUCUUUCAGAGCCUUUUGAAACAAUUUAUUUGUUUUCGGAAAAAUCUUUAAAGAAAUUAAAAGAAAAGAAUUUCAAAUAUAUUCACAUUGGUCUAAUCCAAGUUGGAAUAAAGCCUUUAACAAAAGAGGGUCUUGAUACUUCUAUUCUAGCCGUCCUAAGAGAUGGGCGAUUCAUCUCUUUUGAUGAUUCAUUGCUAAGUAGCAUCGAAUCUAGUCUUUGUAAAGGUCCAAUUUCUUUUGAUUGCUAUCCAAAUAUAACAAUUUCUCUUAAAGACAAAAAUAUUUUAAAAAGCAUGAUUUUACAAGUUAAAACCCAUAAUUAUAAUAUGGUUAAAGGGUCUAUCCCAGUUGCUUUAAUUUUUAAAAUUUCAUACAAAGCUAUGGUCUCUGCGUUUAGUACGCAACACAAAUUCCAGUAAAAAAGAGAUGAAACUCUUCUCUUGCAAACUGACUUGUCUAAAGCAAAUACUGUCAUUCCAAAGCCAAUCCAAUGGAAAGAUGUCAAUCUUCUAGAGGAAUGGAUUCUUGAAGGAGCCGCCCCACCGGCGAUUCCGAAACAACUUGAGCCUAAUACAGAGUUGCAAAAUGUGACUCAGUAUUCUGAUGGUAAAGUGAAAUUAUCCUUCAGAAGAUCUACCUCAUCCAAAUUUUCUGAUAAAGAAUCGUGCUCAAGCAUUCCUUCAAUUGAAAGAAAAUUCUCAAAAAUUCCUUCUGUAAUAAACCUUCCCUUUCAAACAGUAAAGAGUCAACCUAGGUUCUCUACUUCAGAUAUACCUAGUUCCUCCAUACGAUCUGUUGACUAUACUACAAAUAUUCCUCAUCCAGUUUAUACUAGUAGUCAACAUGACCAAAAACAGGAAGAGAAGGAACCUUCUCCUCCAACCUCUCCAACGUUUUCUGCAAUCACAGAAAAUGUUAUUAAUGUCAUUACAAAAGAAUUUGAGUUAGAUAAAAAUCUACUUCAUAAUGAUUUUUAUUCGGAAAAUAAUAAAGAAAAAAGAAUUUGGUUUUUCAAACAUUUUUUAAACCAAAGAAAAGAAAUCCAACAAAUCUACUAUGAAUUUGUGAAUCUUCAUCAAGUUCAUAUAUUGUUUUUUGAUUGGUUCGAGAUAUAUUCUUCUGAGAACAACAUAAAUUACCCUUUUAAAGAGUCAAACCCUAUUACUGUUAGAAAGAAAAUUUCUGAAUGGAAACUUUCUGAUAAUAAUAGAACCAUAGAAUCUGAGCAUCCACCUCUUAGGAGCAUAAUUGUUGAUCACGGUGAACCUCCUGUUGAGAUUAAAGCCUCUCCUUACAAAAUUCCUAGACCAAAUGAUUCUGAUGCGAAUUUAAGUAGUAUUAUCCAACAGAAUAAUUUCUGUAAUACUAACUUAAAUACUAUCGGAAAGCAGUUGACUAGGAUAGAAAACCAAUUCCAAAAGUCAACCAUUACUGUUCCAUCCAUUUCUCCUGUUUCAUCAAAAUUGGAUUCCGACAAAAAGCUUAAGGAACCUAUUUUCAAACCUUUUCAAGUUUCGAAAACUAGCCAAAAGCUUGUCCAUGAGUCAAAAUCAGAUUUUGCUAAAGCCAUUAGAGAACAGCUAGAUAGGAUAAAAGCUGCUUCUUCCUCUUAUAGUAAAGUUCAAAUAGCCCCUGAUACUCCUCAAUCUAGCAAGAUUGGAGUAUUAGAACAAGACCAAUCCUCUAUAGCCUCUUCUGAUAUAGAUGCCUUCCAUGAAGAGCCAUCUAUUCCUAAAGCCAAUAAAAUCCAUUGGGAAUUAGCCGUUCCUACUGUCAAGACUCCACCAGAUCUAGCUAUAGAUAAUAGACCAAGUGCCUUAAAUCAAUCUAGAUUUAAUGCAUCUUCAGUCUAUGAGUGGAAUAUUGAUGGUAUGUCUGAGUACAACAUCUUAGGAUUGUUGCAACAAAUGACCAUGGCAGCUAAUACCUAUAAAACUCAAUCGGGAACUUCUGAUAGAGCCAUAGCAGAAAUUCUCAUUGCAGGUUUUACUGGUCAACUUAAAGGUUGGUGGGAUCAUCUCCUUACUAAUCAGCAACAAUUAGAUAUUCUAAACUCCAUUCAAAAAGAUCAAGAUGGUACCCCCAUCCUUGAUGAAUUCAAUAGUCCAAUUCAGGAUGCCGUGGCUACCCUGAUAUUAACUAUUUCCCUCCAUUUUAUAGGUGACCCUUCGCACCUUAGAGACAAAAAUGCUGAGUUACUACAUAAUUUGAGAUGUAGGAAACUUAGUGAAUUUCAAACUUACAAAACCACUUUCUUUACUCGACUCUUUCUUAGAGAUGAUGCAAAUCAUAUUACUUGGAAAGAGAAAUUCUUAGCAGGAUUACCUACUCUUUUAGGAGAAAAGGUUAGGAAUUCCAUCAAAACCCUUUAUGAUAACCGUAUACCAUAUGACGAGCUCACCUAUGGUGAACUAGUCAGUUUUGUCAAUAAAGAAGGUUUAAAGAUUUGUCAAGAUUUGAAGUUACAGAAACGGCUCAAACAGGAGCUUAGGCAAUCCAAGCAAGAACUAGGUGGUUUCUGUAAACAAUUCAAUUAUGACCCCUUUAAAACUUCUACCUCCAAAGAUUGUAAUGGAAAGUGUUCUUCCAGACCUUACAGAAAACAUUACAAAUCAAAAAGGUAUAGGAAACCCUUUCAAAAUUUUAGAGAUGAACCUUCUUAUAAGAAACCUUCGAAGCCUUAUAAGAAACCGAAAUUCUCUAAAAAGAAAGAGUUUAAAGCCAAACCAAGAACUCCUUUUAAUUACAAAGAAGCCAUAUGCCAUAAAUGUGGUAUAAAAGGCCAUACUGCAAAGUAUUGCAGAAUGCUUCACGAGCUUGGGCUUGAUGAAGAAACCCUCUCCAAAGUUGCCUCCCUAUUGAUAGAGUCUUCCGACUCUGAGUCUUCCAUGUCGGGAGAUAGUGACCCUCUCCAGGUCGAUGAGUUGGUUGAUUCAGAAACCUCUGCAUAUUCUGAAACAGAUUCUUUUUUAAAGAAAAUCAAUGUUUUAACUAAAGACCAAGAGAUUUUCCUUGAACUUGUAAAACAUAUUUCUGACCCUGUUCUUCAAAAGGAAUAUCUUGAUAAACUUUUGAAAACUUUAGACUCAAAUAAAACUGAAACCUCUAAAGUUCCAAUUGUUAAAAAGAAUUCUUAUGAUUUAACUGAGAUUUUGGAUAAAAAGAAAACAAAGAAAACAACUAUUCCUACCAUCCAAGAUCUUUAGAAAGAUAUUAAAGAUAUUAAACUUGAGAUUAAAGAAUUAAAAGAAAAACAAAAAACUGAUUCUGAAACUAUCCAACUUCUCUUACAAAAACAAUUAGAGGAUAAUUCUGAAAAAGAAGUUGAAUCUGAUGGUGAUAAUGAACAAAAUCUUGAAAACAUUGAAUCUAUACCUCAUGAUUUUCUGUUUAUUUUAAAACAAGUUACCACCAGAAAAUAUCUAAUCAAAGUCACUUUAAAAUUUUCUAAAAAUUUUGAAAUUGACACCAUUGCCCUCUUUGACACUGGUGCCGAUUUAAAUUGUAUUAAAGAAGACAUUGUUCCUAGAAAGUUCCAUGAAAGAACUAAAGAAAGGCUUUCUGCCGCCAAUAAUUCAAAAUUAAAUAUCAAAUUCAAAGUUGAUGCCUCAAUUUAUAACAAUGAUUUUGAAUUUAAAACUUCUUUCCUUUUGACAAAUGAUAUUCAUCAUACUGUCAUAUUCGGAACCCCUUUCAUAAAUCUUAUAACUCCGUAUACUGUCAAUUAUGAUGGUAUCUCUUUCAAAGCAAAAUCCCAAAAACUUACUUUCCCUUUUAUUGAAAAACCUAAAACAAGAAAUCUAAAUAUUGUCAAAGCAUGUUAUGUUUACCAAAAUUAGAUUAAUAAUCUUUUAAAAUCAAAAGAACACAAUUUAAUGUUUUUGCAAAAAGAUCUGAGUCUACAAAGAAUUGAAAGUCAAUUACAAAAUGAAUUUAUACAAAGAAAGAUCUCUGAUUUUAAAACCCUCAUUGAAAAAGAAAUAUGUGCCGAUUUACCAUAUGCUUUUUGGAACAGAAAACAACAUUUGGUAGAUUUGCCUUAUGAAAAUUCCUUUAAUGAAAAACAAGUACCUACUAAAGCCCGUCCUAUUCAAAUGAACAUGGAUUUAGAAAAACACUGUAAAGAAGAAAUUAAAGAUUUAUAAACAAAAUGUCUCAUUAUAAAAUCAAGAUCUCCAUGGUCUUGUGCCGCCUUUUAUGUUAAUAAAAACUCUGAAAUCGAAAGAGGAAUACCAAGACUUGUCAUAAAUUAUAAACCUCUAAACAAAGCUUUGAAAUGGAUUAGGUACCCUAUACCUAAUAAAAAAGAUUUGCUUCAAAAACUACAUUCUGCUUUCAUAUUUUCAAAAUUUGACAUGAAAUCUGGUUUUUGGCAAAUUCAAAUUCACCCUAAAGACCGUUACAAGACAGCUUUUACUGUUCCAUUCGGACAGUACGAGUGGACUGUUAUGCCUUUUGGUUUGAAAAAUGCUCCCUCAGAAUUUCAAAGAAUCAUGAAUGAUAUUUACAACCCUUAUUCUGAGUUUUGCAUUGUCUAUAUAGAUGAUGUAUUGAUUUUUUCUCAAACCAUCGACCAACACUUCAAACAUUUAAAAACUUUUUAUUAUGCCACUAGAAAGGCUGGAUUAGCCAUCUCUAGUUCUAAAGUCUCUUUAUUUCAAACAAGGAUAAGGUUCCUUGGCCAUAAUAUUUCUAAAGGUACCAUAACCCCUAUCGAAAGGUCUCUCGCCUUUGCUGACAAAUUUCCUGAUAAAAUCCUUGACAAAACCCAAUUGCAAAGAUUUUUAGGAAGUUUGAAUUAUGUUCUUGAUUUUUGUCCUAACAUUAAUAGGAUUUCUAAACCUCUGCAUGAUAGGUUAAAAAAGAAUCCUGUUGCAUGGACUGACGAGCAUACUAAAGUCAUUAGAAUCAUAAAAGUAUCUGUAAAAAAUAUCCCAUGUUUAUUUCUUGCAAAUCCUGCAUUACCUAAAAUAGUUGAGACUGAUGCAUCUGAUUUAGGUUAUGGAGGUAUAUUAAAGCAAAAAGAAAAUGAUAAAGAACAGAUAGUACAAUAUGUUUCUGCACAUUGGAAUGAAUGCCAGAAAAACUAUUCUACUAUUAAAAAAGAAAUUCUUUCAAUUGUUUUAUGCAUUUCAAAGUUUCAAGGUGAUUUAUUAAAUCAAAAUUUUUUACUUAGAAUUGAUUGCAAAGCUGCAAAAUAUGUUUUAGAAAAAGAUGUUCAAAACAUUGCAUCAAAACAGAUUUUUGCACGUUGGCAAGCUAUUUUAAGUGUUUUUUAUUUCGAUAUUGAGUUUAUUAAAGGUAAUACAAAUUCUAUUCCUGAUUUUCUAACCAGGGAAUUUCUUCAAAACAGAUAAUGCCGCCAAAAAGAAGAGACAAAGGAAAAUGCAUUGCCAAAGACCCUGAGCCUAAAGAACCUCAAUCCCCUCCUAAAGAAAAAUUACUUUCAUCCGCCAUGCCAAUCAAAUCCUGGAUCGACAUGAUUGAGGAUGAAGAAACAAAGUCCAAAGCUCUUUCUACCCAUGAACAAGUAAAUCAAUGGAUGAAAUCCAUUUCAAAAUCACCUGAGCUUAUGCUCGCCUUACAAAGCAGCCUCUCCCAAAGCCAAACUCUUUCAAAAGACAUCUCUACAAAAGAAAGUUCAAAAGAAAUUACAAAGUCCUCUUCUCAAAACAUUGUUGUUUCUAGUGAAAGUUCAUCCUCUCAGAUUGUUCUUUCCCAACCAACUUCUACAAAGAAAACUGCGGUUUGGUUUGAUAAAGUCAAUUCCCAAAACAUUUUAAUUAUUGAAGAUGGAUUUUACCAUUCCGAUCCAUUUCAAGCACUUGCAAAGUUUUUCCCUAAAGGCUGGUUUUUUAAAUCAUGGGAUUUAACAAAACCCCAGCCUUAUUAUCAAAGCAUUUUGGAAGCCACUGAGUCAGUCAAAUUCAAACAUUUUUACCUUAGUGACUCCCAUUCAGAGCCAGCCUAUUCAGCGGCUACAAUUUUAAAAGUCUUAAGUCCAAAAUAGUGAGGCGACUUACUCCACAAUCAAAAACGAUUUCCCUCUAAUUUUCAAAUGCGUUUACCGCACUGUUUAACCUUUUCAUACUGGACUAUCAACAGGCCUGGUAUAACACAUUUUUCAUCCAAAAUCCUAAAAAAUCCCAUUCAUGGUUAUUAUUCUUUAAUUCGAAAAUAACCGUUCAAAGCCUUCCAAAUUGGUUUAAACAAUGGUGGAACUUUUUCGGUCCAAUUCCUGAAAUUUUAACACCAAAUGCCACCCACUGUUUAAACUUAUUCAAAGCCCAUUAUACUCCUUCAGAGUCCGAGAGAAGGUUUCCCGCCUUUCUUUGUUUUUGUACAAAUUUCUUCCUCCCUUGGGUUUGGAUGUGGAACCUUAAUUACCAUACCCAAGACUCCCAAAUUGUUAUACAAAGAACCUUUAAAGUCAAAUGGUGGUCAAAAUUUGAUGAACAAUCAAAAUUGACCGACAACCAAAUCCGAGAUUGGCUUUCUGCCAAAGGUUUUCUUCAACCAACCCUUAAACAAACCAAAGCCCAACAAACAACUCUCCUGGCCAGCACCAAAACAGAAGAAGAAUAUUUCAAAGUUAUGCAACAACUUCUCGCCACACGAUCAGAGACUUCUGUUGCUAGUUCAUCUUCAAGCACCUCUGGAGAUGAAGAACCAUUCAUUUCCAUUGGAGAAGAAAAUGAAGACUACUGUUUCGGCAUUUUUUCUCCUUUAAAGCAUUAGGGCUCUGUAUAUAUAUAAAAAAAAAAAGAGCAAUUUUAAUUUUAUGUAAUUAUUCAUUGUUAAUCGGGUGGUCCCAUGGACACAAGUGAGAGCGCACAUGUCUCUUCACCCGUAUUUUGUAUUUCCUAUUUUGUAUUUUGUAUUUUGUAUAAAGCUACAGCUCUGCUACAGUACAGAGUUCCAAAGAUUACUGUGCACUCAAAACUCCGCUACAGUGAAUAGUGCAGAGUUCCAAAGAUUACUGUGCACUCAAAGCUCCGCUACAGUGAACAGUUUAAAAAUUUCUUUUGUAUAUAAACCGAGAGGAAGACUUAGACUCCUCAGGUUUUUCAUUUUUAGGUUUAGAACUUCUCUCUCUUCUUCUCCUCCUCCUCUCUAAAAACCCUUCUCUCUCUCUCUCCCUCUCCUUCUUCUUCUUCUUCUUCUUCUUCUUCUUCUUCUCUCGGGAUUAAAGAAAAUCUUCUGUAUUCAAGGAAUUUUCCCUAAGUUCCUUGUUUUCAGACUAUUUUCCGAUUUUCCAUUUAUAAAGCUGUCAGAUCAAAAGAAAUAAAUGUAAAGCAUUUAAAUUUAAAGCAAUUUCAAUUUCAUGAAUAUUUAAUUUCCGCAAUUUACUUUAAAGCAAUUUAAUUUCCACAAUUUACUUUAAAGCAAUUUAAUUUUCCAGUCAUUUAUUUUCAAAGCAUGCUCUGCAGACUGAUCUCUAUCAGAUCUGCCAUAAAAAUUGUACGUUCCUCCGAGACAUAGAAACCAGAUCUCUCCCCUCGAUUGUAUUUCUCUUCUCCCCCCUUUUCAUUUUUAGGUUUAGAACUUCUCUCUCUUCUUCUCCUCCUCCUCUCUAAAAACCCUUCUCUCUCUCUCUCCCUCUCCUUCUUCUUCUUCUUCUUCUUCUUCUUCUUCUUCUCUCGGGAUUAAAGAAAAUCUUCUGUAUUCAAGGAAUUUUCCCUAAGUUCCUUGUUUUCAGACUAUUUUCCGAUUUUCCAUUUAUAAAGCUGUCAGAUCAAAAGAAAUAAAUGUAAAGCAUUUAAAUUUAAAGCAAUUUCAAUUUCAUGAAUAUUUAAUUUCCGCAAUUUACUUUAAAGCAAUUUAAUUUCCACAAUUUACUUUAAAGCAAUUUAAUUUUCCAGUCAUUUAUUUUCAAAGCAUGCUCUGCAGACUGAUCUCUAUCAGAUCUGCCAUAAAAAUUGUACGUUCCUCCGAGACAUAGAAACCAGAUCUCUCCCCUCGAUUGUAUUUCUCUUCUCCCCCCUUCUUCAGAGCACCAUUUCCGGGAUCCGGAUCUGGUACUGUGUAUGCACCCAAGCCUAUAGAUGUAUGUUUGUGGCUAGGUUUGCUAAAAAGAAUUUAAUUUAUAUUUGGUAAAGAAUUUUAAAAUUUGAACAACCGCGUUUAAAGAAUCUAAUUAUUAUCUGGUAAAAGCAAAAAUUGAUUUGGUAUAUCAGCUGGACACUCGAGGAUGCGGGCUACUGAUCUAAAGCGCUAUUAAAGAUCGGCUUUAAAAUAAUUAAGCCGGAGCGAUUCCUUAGAUAACAACGCUACGUACCAUAUCAGACCUAAAACUUGACCAACCGCGAUCCAAUUUAUUUUAUCAAAGCAAUCAAUAAAGAAUUAUUUUUUGAAAACACUACCAUCCUUCGAUCCUAUUUCCUUCAAACCAAUUUCCAAUCUAUUUCAAAACAAUUUUUGCCAAAGUCCUCUCCUCCUCGGCUAAUUAAUUCAUAUAUUAAUACAGUCCUCCUCUGCUGAAUAAUGCAAACCCGUUACGUUAUUCUACCAUUUCUUAAAUUUAAAGCAUUCCACCAUUUAAUAAAAAAAUUCGAAAACCCAUUAUAUACAAUACAAAAAGCCCACCGACACCAAACCAUAUUAAUUUAAAAUAAUUUUCAAUUGAGAUUUGAAUUUUAAAAUUACAUACACAAACACACCCGAUUUAAAAAAAUAAUAAUAAUGCUAACAAUAAAAUAUUUCUGUCGUCCUCUGUUCAGUCACCAAAAACGAAUUUACCAGCUAUUAGAACAUAAGGUAUAUGGGUUAACAAGUCCCAAUAUUGUCCUCCAUCCUUUCUGCACUUCUCUUCUAUCAAUGGACAUCCCACGAUGUCUAAUUCCAAAAGUGAGGAAGGCAGGCCCUUCUUCGGAAAGUAUUUGAGCUUGGGACAUCCCCAGAGUUGCAAUAAAGUGAGGUUUUGAAGAUCAACAAUUGAAGAAGAUAGGCGUUCAAGAUUUGGAAAUCUAGAAAUCCCCAGAGAUGUUAGAGAGGCAAGAAGAGGAAGCGCGGUCCCUAAUCUUUUGUUCUCUAGUGGAAAUGACACCAUGUCGUCAUCGCAUCUGCUGAUUGUAAGACGUCGCAGAGAGGAGAAUCUAUGAAAUCCCCGGCCCCGCUCAAUCAUUGACUUCCAAAUCUCCAUAUUACCCUCAAUAUUCAGUAACUGAAGGUUGGUGGGAAGGCCAUCUUCUUCAAGGCUUGGAAGCGCACCUCCUAUUGUUAAGUGUUGAAGAGAGGUCAGAUUGUGCAAUCCCUUGGGUAAGGCCUCUAGUCUCUUACAAUUAGAUAUCGCCAGCGUCCUGAGUUUCGCACAAGGCAAUCCCCCUUCGGGAAAGGACACCAGAUUUUCACAAAUCUGUAUACUAAUCUCUUGAAGCUGGCGGAGAUUAUGUAAACCACUCGGUAAAAUUUUCAGAGUUCCACACCUCUUUAUACUGAUUUUUUCAAGAGAUGUGUUGUUGUCCAACCUUUCUGCUAUUGACUCCACCUUUGAACAUCCAUAAACAUAAAGGGACUUAAGAGACGGAGGCAGAUUGCCAACUUCAAGGGACUCAAGCGUGGCAGGUAACUCGUUUUUUGAAAAUAUACAUGUCAGUGAUGGACAAUCCCAAAUUUCCAACUCCUCGAGAAGAGAUGAGGUGUACCUUCUGCCGCUGCUACACUGGAUGCCCUCUUCCGCUGUCAAAGUCCUUAUAUUAUCGCAACGGCGGAUC